GUGGUGACUGAAGUGACCUGAAAGCCAAGAGAUGUUACCUGGGGCUAUGACAGAUUUAUUUUGCCUCUGCACCAAAGAUAGGACCCAAAAAACAUAAAACCCAUCACCAAAGACGUGACAACAAACAUAAAGGUAAAAAUAAAGUUUUCUG
Molecule: long non-coding RNA, 151 nt
Organism: Gallus gallus (chicken)
Lineage: Eukaryota; Metazoa; Chordata; Aves; Galliformes; Phasianidae
Exons: 2
Source: RefSeq, a predicted model, not a curated record